AUUAAAGACAUGCAUAACUCGAACAUGGGGGUUGGUUGCCUAUCUACUUUCCGUUUCUGAGGCAUUAAAAU
RNAcentral lists this small RNA (71 nucleotides) under Arabidopsis thaliana (thale cress). RNAcentral's name for it is "ATSL154670". Lineage: Eukaryota; Viridiplantae; Streptophyta; Magnoliopsida; Brassicales; Brassicaceae. The record is from RNAcentral.